GACGAACCGUGCAAACGUUAUUCGGAAUCACUGGGCUUAAAGGGCGCGUAGGCGGGCAAUCAAGUCCGGGGUGAAAUCCUCCAGCUUAACUGGAGAAGUGCCUCGGAUACUGGUCGUCUCGAGGAGGGUAGGGGCAUCUGGAACUAGCGGUGGAGCGGUGAAAUGCGUUGAUAUCGCUAGGAACUCCGGUGGCGAAGGCGAGGUGCUGGACCCUUUCUGACGCUGAGGCGCGAAAGCCAGGGGAGCGAACGGG
RNAcentral lists this ribosomal RNA (253 nucleotides) under uncultured bacterium. Its description in RNAcentral is "partial 16S ribosomal RNA". It matches the Rfam family "Bacterial small subunit ribosomal RNA", at positions 524 to 776 of the family's 1533-position model. The record is from RNAcentral.